GACGAACGCUGGCGGCGUGCUUAACACAUGCCAGUCGAACGGAAAGGCCCUGCUUUUGUGGGGUGCUCGAGUGGCGAACGGGUGAGUAACACGUGAGUAACCUGCCCUUGACUUUGAGAUAACUUCAGGAAACUGGGGCUAAUACCGGAUAGGAGCUCCUGCUGCAUGGUGGGGGUUGGAAAGUUUCGGCGGUUGGGGAUGGACUCGCGGCUUAUCAGCUUGUUGGUGGGGUAGUGGCUUACCAAGGCUUUGACGGGUAGCCGGCCUGAGAGGGUGACCGGCCACAUUGGGACUGAGAUACGGCCCAGACUCCUACGGGAGGCAGCAGUGGGGAAUAUUGCACAAUGGGCGGAAGCCUGAUGCAGCAACGCCGCGUGCGGGAUGACGGCCUUCGGGUUGUAAACCGCUUUCGCCUGUGACGAAGCGUGAGUGACGGUAAUGGGUAAAGAAGCACCGGCUAACUACGUG
RNAcentral lists this ribosomal RNA (468 nucleotides) under uncultured bacterium. Its description in RNAcentral is "partial 16S ribosomal RNA". It matches the Rfam family "Bacterial small subunit ribosomal RNA", at positions 28 to 507 of the family's 1533-position model. The record is from RNAcentral.